CCCCAUCUCAUGGCCACCAUUCUCUCUCCAUCAGCUCGCCUCUCCUCCUCCACCAACACCCAAAAGCCACCGCAAAUUCCGCCACCACCCAAAACCCAGCUCCCUAUGCCACCCCACAAACCCCUCUUAAACACAACACUAACUGCCGCUACAAUACUAACCACCACUGCUCCUUCCCUUGCAGACUCAGCACAAACCUACCACAUCUACUACGGCACCGCAGCCAGCGCGGCCAACUACGGUGGAUACGGCGGUAACUCCGAC
RNAcentral lists this unclassified non-coding RNA (264 nucleotides) under Hevea brasiliensis (rubber tree). Lineage: Eukaryota; Viridiplantae; Streptophyta; Magnoliopsida; Malpighiales; Euphorbiaceae. The record is from RNAcentral.